GUCGAACGGAUUAUUCUUUAUAGCUUGCUAUGAGAAUAAUUAGUGGCAGACGGGUGAGUAAUGCAUAGGAAUCUACCUAGUAGUAUAGGAUAGCCACUAGAAAUGGUGGGUAAUACUGUAUAAUCCCUGCGGGGGAAAGAUUUAUCGCUACAUGAUGAGCCUAUGUUAGAUUAGCUAGUUGGUGGGGUAAUGGCCUACCAAGGCAGUGAUCUAUAGCUGGUCUGAGAGGAUGAUCAGCCACACUGGAACUGAGACACGGUCCAGACUCCUACGGGAGGCAGCAGUGGGGAAUAUUGGACAAUGGGCGCAAGCCUGAUCCAGCUAUGCCGCGUGAGUGAGGAAGGCCUUAGGGUUGUAAAACUCUUUCAGUAGGGAAGAUAAUGACGGUACCUAUA
This 395-nucleotide ribosomal RNA is filed under the name Anaplasma phagocytophilum. RNAcentral describes it as "bacterial SSU rRNA". It matches the Rfam family "Bacterial small subunit ribosomal RNA", at positions 61 to 483 of the family's 1533-position model. The record is from RNAcentral. Lineage: Bacteria; Pseudomonadati; Pseudomonadota; Alphaproteobacteria; Rickettsiales; Anaplasmataceae.